Massilia sp. LC238 is the source of this 212-nucleotide non-coding RNA. Lineage: Bacteria; Pseudomonadati; Pseudomonadota; Betaproteobacteria; Burkholderiales; Oxalobacteraceae. The record is from Rfam.
GAACUGAAGAGUUUGAUCCUGGCUCAGAUUGAACGCUGGCGGCAUGCUUUACACAUGCAAGUCGAACGGCAGCACGGACUUCGGUCUGGUGGCGAGUGGCGAACGGGUGAGUAAUACAUCGGAACGUACCCAGAAGUGGGGGAUAACGCAGCGAAAGUUGCGCUAAUACCGCAUACGUUCUACGGAAGAAAGUGGGGGAUCUUCGGACCUCA